RNAcentral lists this ribosomal RNA (269 nucleotides) under uncultured prokaryote. RNAcentral's name for it is "partial 16S ribosomal RNA". It matches the Rfam family "Bacterial small subunit ribosomal RNA", at positions 524 to 792 of the family's 1533-position model. The record is from RNAcentral.
UACGGAGGUGGCAAGCGUUGUUCGGAUUUACUGGGUGUAAAGGACAUGUAGGUGUCUUAUUAAGUCGGAUGUGAAAUCCCUUGGCUCAACCAAGGAACUGCAUUCGAUACUGAUAAGAUUGAGUACUGGAGAGGUAAGCGGAAUUCCGGAAGUAAGGGUGAAAUCUGUAGAUAUCCGGAGGAACACCAUUAGCGAAGGCGGCUUACUGGCCAGAUACUGACACUGAAAUGUGAAAGCUAGGGGAGCAAACAGGAUUAGAUACCCCCGUA